Molecule: ribosomal RNA, 99 nt
Filed under: Streptococcus pyogenes
Lineage: Bacteria; Bacillati; Bacillota; Bacilli; Lactobacillales; Streptococcaceae
Description: partial 16S ribosomal RNA
Source: RNAcentral
AACUGCCUGAUGGAGGGGGAUAACUACUGGAAACGGUAGCUAAUACCGCAUAACGUCGCAAGACCAAAGAGGGGGACCUUCGGGCCUCUUGCCAUCGGA